ACUCAUUCUUUGCAGAGGAAAUACUAUGUCACAAAGGUGGUUAUUCCCAGGGGGAGGCUCAUCCAUUGCACUUCAGGUAUGCUGCUGAUUCCUGUGAUUUUCCCCCCAAAUGUUGGGAACUCAACUGCAUAAUUUGUGUUAAUGGGAGAUUGCACUUGUGAUUUUCCUGG
RNAcentral lists this small nuclear RNA (170 nucleotides) under Pogona vitticeps (central bearded dragon). Its description in RNAcentral is "U1 spliceosomal RNA (ENSPVIG00000025638.1)". It matches the Rfam family "U1 spliceosomal RNA". From Rfam's summary of the family: U1 is a small nuclear RNA (snRNA) component of the spliceosome (involved in pre-mRNA splicing). The record is from Rfam by way of RNAcentral. Lineage: Eukaryota; Metazoa; Chordata; Lepidosauria; Squamata; Agamidae.